Molecule: ribosomal RNA, 406 nt
Filed under: uncultured bacterium
Lineage: Bacteria
Description: partial 16S ribosomal RNA
Rfam family: Bacterial small subunit ribosomal RNA
Source: RNAcentral
AUUGAACGCUGGCGGCAGGCCUAACACAUGCAAGUCGAACGAGUGGCGGACGGGUGAGUAAUGUCUGGGAAACUGCCUGAUGGAGGGGGAUAACUACUGGAAACGGUAGCUAAUACCGCAUACCCUCGGAUGUGCCCAGAUGGGAUUAGCUAGUUGGUGGGGUAAAGGCGCACCUAGGCUACGUUCCCUAGCUGGUCUGUGAGGAUGACCAGGCAACCCGGAACGGAGACACGGUCCAGACUACUACGGGAGGCAGCAGUGGGGAAUAUUGCACAAUGGGCGCAAGCCUAAUACAGCCAUGCCGAGGGGGUGAAAAAGGCCUUCGGGUUGUAAAGCAAUUUCAGCGGGGAGGCGUUACCCGCAGAAGAAGCACCGGCUAACUCCGUGCCAGCAGCCGCGGUAAUUC